Molecule: RNA transcript, 2443 nt
Organism: Seriola aureovittata
Lineage: Eukaryota; Metazoa; Chordata; Actinopteri; Carangiformes; Carangidae
Exons: 6
Source: RefSeq, a predicted model, not a curated record
CCUCUAGCAGGUUUGCUGUGCGUCUUGUUUUUUUUUUUUUCAUCCCUUGACUGAAAAGAAAACAACAAGUUUCAGAUCAGUUUCGCUCAGGCAGCCUCACAAUGAUGUGGCAUAUACGUGAAGUUUGGGGUCGUGGAAGGAAUUUUCAGCCCGGUGAAAUAUUAAAUGUGAACGCAGGAUAAUUUCAUAGCUUUUGCUCAGGGGCACACAGCUGGGAACUGUCAGUCAACCUCUGGUAUGUAUGUGUGUAACUUUUUAGCCUCCAGAAAUCAUUGAAACCUAUGGCAUAAACCACAAGCACCCUAUACAUCCUCAUUUGUCUUCUUCUCUUUUAAAUUAACUUAUUGAGGGAAAGCUAUGACACCUUCCACUUAAGAAGAGUGGGCUUUGAUCUGUGUCGUCUGCAUACUAAUGUGAACCUGCCAAACUGGAAAAAAAAAAAAAAAAGGGUCACGGAGGAUACAAGUUGAUGACACACACACACACACACACACAGAGCAAUAUAUCAACAGUGGACAUGUUAGGUAAUAUCAGUAAGUCCCCGAGCAUUACCAGGAGGAGGAGCUGAGUGCUGACUGUGGUAAACUCUCUCCAGUAGUCAUAUUCAUCGAGAGUGCAACAGUUUCAACGUUGCUUGCUGUUCAGUUUGUCACAGCUUUGCCUCCUGUGAUCUGAACUCACUCUGAGCUUCGACCAAGUACUGAACUGCCAGGUGUGAGGAGACUGGAUGGAACUUCCCAUGUUGAGCCGUAAACGACGUCUGUCUCAUGGAUAUGAAAAGGAGCCUCUGCCGUCCUCGAAGAAACGCGUAUCCAGUCUCACAGCUCUGCGGGACAGAUCUCAGACUGACGGCUCAGACAGAGCCACACAGCACGCCAGACUGAGGACGAGCUGUGGUCGCCUCUGCACAUGUGAAGCCUGUCUGAAUGAAGAGGUUAAAUACCUGACUAACAACAGGCGCUUCUUCGAGCAGGUAUCAUCCUGGGCUGACACACAAUACUCUGUGAAUAAAGUGCUGGAGCAUCUCGCGUUCAGACAAGCCACCGAUGACAUUUUCCUCAAUGACCCAGUUAACAAGAAAUUUUUGGAGUUUCACCAUGACAUCACUGAGGAAUGUGGCGCAGAAGAUAAACAGCAUUCGUGGGCUGUUAUUGAAAAACAGGAGGAGAUCAUCAUGUAUGGACCUUAUUAUCCUAACUACAACAACGGAGAACACAGCGAGGACGUCAUUAUUAAACAAACACAGGAGCUUCUGGAGUCAGGAGAAUCCUCAGAAGACUGGAAGGUGUAUGUUUUCACCAUGAACAGCCCGUGUUUGGCUAGAAACACUGAGCCAUGCAUGUUAAACCUGGUUCAGAAAGCUCAGGAGUGGUGGACUGUGUAUGGGGUAAAGACUCACAUUGGUUAUGUGAGAUGCUGGGGCUUCAAAGGAACCAAAGAAAAUCUGUUCAGGGAGGUUGACUACAGCCAAGUGGAGUGUAUAAAACAGACUGAGGACCAUGAGGACUAUGUUAAAGCAGUAAAAAAUAGAACUGAUCUCAAUCCUUUAUGUAAAAAUCUGACUUCUGCAGUUAAACACCUCCUGACAUCUGUAAAUUUGAGUUUCCCUCUGAUGACCGUUGUGCAGCUGCAGGACUGGAAGAGUUACUUCAAAAACAUGCAAAGUAUUUUUGAAUGCAAACCAGAGGAUGAGAAAGAAGCCUUCACACAGGAGCUGAACACCGCGAUUGAAGCUGCACAAGGGCCGCUUUCACAAAAAAGUGCGAGCUUUGAGGAACAUUUAGAAAGCGGGAAGACAUUUCAACUUGAUCGCGCUUUCAGUCCACAAGUGUCUGACGCCCUCCAGGGUCGAAUGAAGCUCGCGUUUCAGCAGUGUUGGAGGGAGAUGGUACGAGACAAAUACGCAGAGUUAAUCAGGGAGAAGCUGACUGAAGACUUCAAUCAAUGUGCCGUCCAGUGUUUUGUCCAAGAUAUUGUAAAGUUCACAAACGCAUACUUACAAAUCGGAAGGAUACACUUUUCAGAAGAAGAGUCAAAAGGUCAACAAGCUGAUAGAGAGUAUGAAUCUGGCCUCCAUCUGUUCCUCCCUCGCUGCAGAGAGCAACAGGAAUGGCAGUGAUACAUACGCAGGCCUCCUCCAAGGCUGAGAGCAAAACAGAGACAGCAGGGCGAGCUAACCUUGAGCCAGUCAGCCAUUGUAGCCAACACAACGCAGCAACUGCCAGGAGAAGGCCUCGUAGAAGUGAACGUUAAAGCUUUUCAAAUGAUCAACACAAGGAUUACAUCUCAACUGGCAGACAGGAGGAGGAGCUGGAGGAGCACCAGUCUGGAGACCGUGGAGGACCGAGCUAUCGAAGGGGGACGCCGGCCACGUUCCACCCAUGUUCGGGCUCAUGUAGGCCGGGUAGGGGCUGUGGUACGACCCGCUGAAGCCCCGAGCGCC